GCCGGGAUAGAUCAGUUGGUAGAGCAGAGGACUCGAAAUCC
Molecule: transfer RNA, 41 nt
Filed under: Solms-laubachia linearis
Lineage: Eukaryota; Viridiplantae; Streptophyta; Magnoliopsida; Brassicales; Brassicaceae
Also listed under: 2 other names
Description: partial tRNA-Phe
Source: RNAcentral